AAAUGAAUUGACGGGGGCCCGCACAAGCGGUGGAGCAUGUGGUUUAAUUCGACGCAACGCGAAGAACCUUACCAGGUUUUGACAUCCCUUGACAAGCUAAGAGAUUAGCCGUUCAUCCUUCGGGAUGACAAGGAGACAGGUGGUGCAUGGUUGUCGUCAGCUCGUGUCGUGAGAUGUUGGGUUAAGUCCCGCAACGAGCGCAACCCUUAUUCUUAGUUGCCAUCAGGUAAGGCUGGGCACUCUAAGGAGACUGCCGGUGACAAACCGGAGGAAGGUGGGGAUGACGUCAAAUCAUCAUGCCCUUUAUGACCUGGGCAACACACGUGCUACAAUGGCCUGUACAAAGGGUAGCGAAGCCGUGAGGUGGAGCCAAUCCCAAAAAGCAGGUCUCAGUUCGGAUUGCAGGCUGCAACUCGCCUGCAUGAAGUCGGAAUCGCUAGUAAUCGCGGAUCAGCACGCCGCGGUGAAUACGUUCCCGGGCCUUGUACACACCGCCCGU
This 499-nucleotide ribosomal RNA is filed under the name uncultured bacterium. RNAcentral describes it as "bacterial SSU rRNA". It matches the Rfam family "Bacterial small subunit ribosomal RNA", at positions 903 to 1397 of the family's 1533-position model. The record is from RNAcentral.